CCAGAUACACAUAUGUACAUACAGGAUAUGCAGGGACAAAGAUGGACAGACAGAGGGAAUGGCUAGCCUGUGACCGGCCCAACUGGAGACUCAUUCCGUGGACCAGAACGACCCUGACUAUACCAAUGAAAUGUUAGGUUCACAGACAGGACCCUAGUGUAACUGUCUUCGGAGAGCUCCGCCCAGUAGCCUGUAGAAACAGAUGCAGAAACCCUCAACCAAACAUUAGACCGAGUUCCAGAGUCUAAUGUGGAAAAGUUGGGGGAAGGAGUGAGAGAUCCUGAGGGGACAAGAACUCCGCAGGAAGACCAACAGAGCCAAAUAACUUGGAACCCUGGGGGUUCUCAGAGACUCAACCACCAGUAAGAGAGCAAGAUCCCCUCACUGCCUGCCCCUGUCGGCCAAUACAUACGUAGCAGAAGUGCAGUAAGGUCUUCUCAUAGGUCCCCCAAAACUGGAUUCAGCUGUCCCUGAAUCUGUUGCCUGCCUGUGAAUCCUGAUCCCCUAACUGGUCUGCCUUCUCUGCCAUCAAUGGGAGAGCAUGUAACCAGCCCUGCGGUGACUUGAUAUGCUAGAAUGAGGUGAUACCCAGGGGAAGCCUUCUCCCUUCUCAGAGGAGAAGGGAAGGAGGGGAAGGGAAAGGAGCUGUGUGAGAGGGGACCAGGAGGAAGGUGGGGUAUGUAUGUGAUCAGAAUGUAAAGUGAAUAAAUAAAUUGACUAAUUAAAAAAUAAACCUAAA
RNAcentral lists this long non-coding RNA (739 nucleotides) under Rattus norvegicus (Norway rat). RNAcentral's name for it is "long non-coding RNA NONRATT028830". The record is from RNAcentral. Lineage: Eukaryota; Metazoa; Chordata; Mammalia; Rodentia; Muridae.